AGAUUGAACGCUGGCGGUCAUUGCCUAACACAUGCAAGUCGAAGCGGGCAGCGGCGGGGGCGACCCUGGCGGCGAGCGGCGGACGGGUGAGUAAGGCAUUCGGAAUCUGCCCCUGAUGUAGGGGGAUAACGUUAGGGAAACCUUACGGCUAAUUACCGCAUACGACCGAGAGGUGGAAAGCGGGGGACCGAAAGGCCUCGCGCAGCA
This 207-nucleotide ribosomal RNA is filed under the name uncultured prokaryote. RNAcentral's name for it is "partial 16S ribosomal RNA". The record is from RNAcentral.